Molecule: unclassified non-coding RNA, 228 nt
Filed under: uncultured fungus
Lineage: Eukaryota; Fungi
Description: sequence contains ITS1, 5.8S rRNA gene
Rfam family: 5.8S ribosomal RNA (bases 180-228)
Source: RNAcentral
UCUCCGUAGGUGAACCUGCGGAGGGAUCAUUACUGAGUGAGGGUUUAACCGCCCGACCUCCAACCCUUUUGUGAACCACCUCGUUGCUUCGGGGGCGACCCUGCCGUCCGCGGCUGAGCGCCCCCGGGGUCAAUCAAACACUGCAUUCUCUGCGUCGGAGUAUUAGUAAAUCUAAUCAAAACUUUCAACAACGGAUCUCUUGGUUCUGGCAUCGAUGAAGAACGCAGC